UACGUAGGGUGCGAGCGUUGUCCGGAAUUAUUGGGCGUAAAGAGCUUGUAGGCGGUCUGUCGCGUCUGCUGUGAAAAUCCGGGGCUCAACCCCGAACUUGCAGUGGGUACGGGCAGACUAGAGUGUGGUAGGGGAGACUGGAAUUCCUGGUGUAGCGGUGAAAUGCGCAGAUAUCAGGAGGAACACCGAUGGCGAAGGCAGGUCUCUGGGCCACUACUGACGCUGAGAAGCGAAAGCAUGGGGAGCGAACAGG
RNAcentral lists this ribosomal RNA (253 nucleotides) under uncultured bacterium. RNAcentral's name for it is "partial 16S ribosomal RNA". It matches the Rfam family "Bacterial small subunit ribosomal RNA", at positions 524 to 776 of the family's 1533-position model. The record is from RNAcentral.